CCUGCCUGGUCCUUGCAUCCUGAGGCAUGGCAUAUUGGUGAUCUAUGCUGCGUAUGGCACCACCACACACCACACAGCACAAGCAGAUGGCAGACACCCACUCAUCACCUCACGGGUUCCCUGGCCCAGAGCCGGCUGUGUUCUCGUCUGAGGGCUCCACGAGGGAGGGACCCAUUUCCAGGCUCAUCCCAGCAGCGGGCAGAAAUAUUUCCUUGUGGUUAUGGGACUGAGGUCCCAUGUUCUCGGGGCUGUCAGUCCGGAGCCACUCUUGGCUCCUAGGGGCCCCCACCGUCCUCUGCCCUGGAGGCGUCUCUGCUGGGCAGCUUGCUUCCUCCGGGCAGCAGGAGACUGUACCACUCCAGCCGUCGGAGACGUGUCUUCAUAACAUGUGAGCAAGGGAGUGACUCGCCUGCCACCUGUAUCAUACGCUGCUGGUCGGAUGCAAAUCUCAGGGCAGGUGGUCACACAGGGGGGUGACUUGGGGUCACCUUGGCAUGUGCCUGCCACUCCCAGGAGCACCCCCAGACAUCAAGCUUUGGGAAACUCUGCCAGGAUCUGGGAGGCAGCCGCCAGUGCUGUGUGAGUGGGGAGCGUGGUCACAGGGUGGGGGCGGGACUGGAAGUGGCCACGGGGAUGGACACAGAAGAGCCACCCCCAGGCUCCCAGGGCCCCGAGGACACAGCAGGAGCUUCAUCUACACGGGUGGGGGACGGCGGCUCGGGGCCUUGAUUCAGGUGCUGGGGCCCCUUCUGUCCCUGUCCCUGCCCUGAGGACUGUUGGGGUCAACCCUGGCUGAGUGUGGACAUUGCUGGUUCAGCGGAUACCCUGAGUGCCGAGGCCAGGCGCAGGCAGCAGAUGGCACGGUGAUGUCAGGGAAGGGCGGCAGGACCCUCAGCUGCGUGUUGGGUCCCUACAUGUCAAGGGUUUAUUGCCUGGUCUCUGGCGCAUGUGUCUUCUACGAAGUCAGACAAGAUGCUUGCUGCUUUCUGACCAUCAGGACCAACUGAUGUCAUCAGCAGGGACACCAGUGCCGUGGCCCUGGGACCUCCAGGCCACCGUGCCAGGAAUCCCUGCACCUGCUGCUCUGGGCCCAGCCUCAGCCUUGUCACAGGGUGCUGCUCUGGCUUUCCUCUCCUGGGUGAGAGAAGCUCCAGGGGCGUCUGCUGUCUCUCCCCACCCCAACAGGUGUCAUUCUGUGGGUUUGGGGCCAACGUGGGGAUUCUCCCAAUGGCCAGCUGUGUCCAGUCCAAUCAUGCAUUCCGGGACUGUGGACAUGACUCAGGCCACAGAGUUCACGUGGAAGUGGACGUGGCCACAGGUGUUGCUGUCCUCUGGACUGCAGGCCGCACGGGGCUCUGGGUCCCCAGGAAGCAGAUCGGCACAGAGCCUGCUCUCAGAUGGCCCGGCUGGAUCCCUGCUGUCGAGCACAGCCUGCUGCAGACCUGGUUGGGGCUGGUGCAGGGGAAGCAUCCAAGUUCCUCGUUGUGAGUGUGUAGGGGACCUUCCUGAGGGCUCCAGGACCCUGGGAAGAGCAGCCUGGCUGGUGCAGAAGCUGAGGAAGCGGCUGAGACUCCUUGUGGUGACGCCACAAGUGAAGCUUCUGGUGAGCAGACACGGAGGAGACCUGCCCUGUAGGUCGAUCUCCACUUCACUAGGCCUUCCAUCUGAUGGAUCCCAGAGACCCUGAUCAAUCAGCCACAACUAAAGCGCAUGUCGAGCUAAACCUCCCAAUGAUCACUCCGUCCCCACUGCCCAUGACAGCUCUUGUCCUCAACUGGCCAGCAGCAGAGAAACCCCACCUGGCCACCGCCACUCCCUAACCUGUCAUUCUCACUAGGCCCAGGGGCCCACCCUAGGGACUGCGGUCAGCUGCAAAUGCCUCCACCUCGCCCCUCGCCAAGAUAACCCUCCUAAGCCCUGGAGCCCUGAUAGUUACCUGAUACUGCGAGGUCCACGCAGGGGUGAUAAUGUGCAGGAUCCUGAGAUGGGGGGAUAUCUGGACGACCCUGGAGGGCCCUAAAUUCCAUCACAAGUGUCCUCAUCAGAGAGUCGCAGAGGAGACGUGGCCACACCCUGAGGAGACCCGUGUGGGACGGGGUGGUGAUUGGAAGAUGCUGGUCUUGAAGACCGGAGCGAGGCAUCCACAAACCUAGGAAUGUUGGUGCCCCCGGAAGCUGGGAGAGGUCGGGAAGGAUUCCGUACUGGAGCUUCCAGAGGGAGCGCCCUGAUUUCCACCCAGUGAGGCUGACUUUGGACUUCCUGCUUUCGUGAGUGUGAGAUAGUAAAUGUGUGUUGUUUUAAGCCCCCUGGUCUGUGGUGAUUUGUCUCCGCAUCCCCGGGAAACGAAUCCAAGGAGGCCU
Pan troglodytes (chimpanzee) is the source of this 2360-nucleotide long non-coding RNA. RefSeq lists it as uncharacterized. The transcript has 3 exons. Lineage: Eukaryota; Metazoa; Chordata; Mammalia; Primates; Hominidae. The record is from RefSeq and is a predicted model, not a curated record.